This 880-nucleotide long non-coding RNA is filed under the name Nicotiana tabacum (common tobacco). Its description in RNAcentral is "long non-coding RNA (NTAB_LNC006169)". Lineage: Eukaryota; Viridiplantae; Streptophyta; Magnoliopsida; Solanales; Solanaceae. The record is from RNAcentral.
AGGACGGUCUUCAGUUUCUCAUCUCACCCCGUGCGCUCUCUCUCUCUCUCUCUCCUCUGUCUCUCUUUAGAUUCUUUGGGUAUAGAUCUCUCUAUUCCACUUCGUUUUCUCCCUAAGUUUGGAAUUAAAGCUGCAUAUUAUAGGCUGUUGAUUUUGUUCCUGGGUUUCUUUUGGUAUUCGAGAGGUCUGGUUGAUUUGAACCCAAGACGAAGUUGCUUCCACUAUAACUCUUCGCAACAAAGCAAGACUGGAGAAGAUGACCAUUUGUGAUUGGCUAUUUGCCGCGUCUAUCAGGUGUUGGGGUGUACUUUGCUUUGUCAAACAUGUGGUAUGCAAUUCUUGAAUCUUCCCAUGUGUCUGUCAUUCCUUCUUUGUUUUUCCUUUUAGGUUUGGAAUUAAAGCUAUGUAAUUUGGGUUGAGUUCAUUCUCAUAGGAUUGGAGUCAGUGCUGGAUAUGUAUCUUCAAAGAGCGAAGAGUGUAGGUCUUGUAAAACGUGGCUGCCAACGAAGUUGGACUCACUGUUUGUCUGCUCAUCCUCUUCCUCACUCUGCUUUGCGCAAUUCGAUUUUCUUUUUAUGGUUGCUGGGUGAUUUAUUUCUCUUACUCCUGUUGUUCCCCGUGAUGGCGCUGCUGAAACGUAAAAUUACGAGUUCUGUUGAGAGGCGAGACUUGCUUUUGUCGGAAUGUCAUAUACGUUGUUGUGUGCUACUUUGAUGACAAGUUUGACUUGGUUCUUUCAGUUAGCUUUCUGUUUCAUCUUGUUAAAUCUUAUGGAUCUAAUUGGCUUAUUAACUGACAUAUAACGAACUAUAUAUAUGAAUUAAGUUGUUAGUUAAAGCUGACAUAGGAUUCAUGGCAAUUCGAUACUAUAAAUGAAUUC